This 460-nucleotide ribosomal RNA is filed under the name uncultured bacterium. RNAcentral's name for it is "partial 16S ribosomal RNA". It matches the Rfam family "Bacterial small subunit ribosomal RNA", at positions 338 to 795 of the family's 1533-position model. The record is from RNAcentral.
CCUACGGGUGGCAGCAGUGAGGAAUCUUGGUCAAUGGACGCAAGUCUGAACCAGCCAAGUAGCGUGAAGGAUGACUGCCCUACGGGUUGUAAACUUCUUUUAUAUGGGAAUAAAAUGUUCCACGUGUGGGACAUUGUAUGUACCCUAUGAAUAAGGAUCGGCUAACUCCGUGCCAGCAGCCGCGGUAAUACGGAGGAGCCGACAGUUAUCCGGAAUUAUUGGGUGUAAGGGGAGCGUAGGGGGAUUGUUAAGUCAGUUGUGAAAGUUUGCGGCUCAACCGUAAGAGUGCAGAUGAAACUGGCAGACUUGAGUACAGUAGAGGUGGGCGGAAUUCGUGGUGUAGCGGUGAAAUGCUUAGAUAUCACGAAGAACUCCGAUUGCGAAGGCAGCUCACUGGACUGCAACUGACACUGAGGCUCGAAAGUGAGGGGAUCGAACGGGAUUAGAUACCCGAGUAGUC